Molecule: long non-coding RNA, 3822 nt
Organism: Cygnus atratus (black swan)
Lineage: Eukaryota; Metazoa; Chordata; Aves; Anseriformes; Anatidae
Exons: 3
Source: RefSeq, a predicted model, not a curated record
AACACCGUGGCUAAUUUCCACCUGGGAAGUAUUUCCACAGGACUUCAGACACAAGCCAAGGAUGUGCUUGUGACGGUUUCUACAGCCACCACCCUCUGUGACCAUGAAGCAUCCGUCCUGCAGCAUCGCCUGUUCCCAGCAGGAGAGGAUGGCUGCAGCAGCUCUUUUGGGGUAAUUUCCACCUUCACUGGGGGAAAAUCCUCCGAAGGCUGCUGGUUCUCAAGCAAGCAGUACGGAGCCGCCGUUUGGAGGCUGGGCCCGCAGGUGGCAGCACGGCACCUUCAUAACAUCGCAGAGUCAUAGAAUGGCUCGGGUUGGAAGGGACCUUAAAAGAUCGUCUCUUUCCAGCCCCCUGCCAUGGGUAAGGAUGCCACCCACCACAUCAGGUUGCCCAGAGCCUCAUCCAGCCUGGCCUUGAACAUCUCCAGUGCUGCAGGCACCGUGCUCCCUUCUGCAGGCCAUAAAUUGCCCAUCUCUGUCUUUCCCCUCGAGAGAGAGGUCUAAAGGGCUGCGAGCCGUGAGUGAGCACAAUGAGUGUCCCUUAGGGAAAGGGAGUAGUGGGGAUGUUGUUAGUUCCUAUUGAGGGGCGAUGCCAAAACUUCACAGGAUCAGGCUUUAUAUGACCGGACAUAUUUAGCGUUUCAGCAGUACUGUAAAUGAGGAUGUGCCUUUUCCUGUGAUUGUCAGCCUUCGAUGGAACUCUUGGUAUGUGGUGAAUAAUAUUACAAUACUGUACUUUCUUAAACAUAGAGGACAUAAUAAAGUCCCACCCACAAAGGUCAGAUGCAUCUGACUCACUGUCGUUAAGAGUUAAGAGACUUCCAUUUAUUCUAACAAUAACUUGUUUAAAAUAUGAAGUCAAUUAAUUUCUUGCCUUUGUGGAAGUUGUCAUUUUACUAUGGCAGGGACAAUGCAGAGUUCUGGAGUCAAGCUAAAAACAGAGGACAGAUAUUAUUGGAUCAGAUGGUCAUUUAAGAUAAAUUAAAGCUACUUUGAUGAAAUCAGUGAAAUAUUAUUUACAUUUACUAAUUGUAUAUUUACUAGCUGCCCCAUAUAUUUAGAAACAGAUAUGUCUUUAAAGUAUGCUUGCUAAACCAAUAAUUUUAGAGAUUAUAGGAAUAACACCAUUGAAAUUCAGUAUUGUUAGGUAUUUUGCUUGCUCAUUUUAUCACAGUGAAUCAGCUUAGACAAAAAGUUACAGUUCUCACUUUUAUAUCACUCUUACUGUCUGGAGCUUUUGCAGAAGCACAGUACAGGUCCACUGUAUUUAUAUCUGCAUUGCAUUGGAAUAUUUAUGGGGUCUCAUCAGGAGAAAAAGAGCUUGAACCAUCAUCACAAAUAGCAAUGUAAUCAUUAUUAAUGAAAGAUAUUAGCAAAAAGUAAUCUAUCAUUAUUUUUUUGACUGAUAAUUCUAUGCAUUGAAAGCCUUUUGUGUGUAAUUAGUUUCCCAGUUUUACUGAUACGGUCACUUAGACCCAGAUCUUCAUAGAAUCAUCAGGGUGGAAAAGACCUUCACGAUCAUCAAGCCUAACCAUCAACACGACCUACUGAGUCCCAUUGCUAAACCAUGUCCCUUAAUGCCACGUGCACACAUCUCUUGCAUUUCAGUUUUGAAAUCUAGGACAAGCCCAUGUUUGUUAUUAAGUACCUAAAUAUCUUUUUGGAGUCAGACAUUCAUCUCCUGAUAAUACAAACUCAUUAAUCUGUACCUAACCCUGUUACAGUGAAAAGGCUGUUUGUCAAUCUAUAAAAGAAAAAGCAAUGAAAAGCAAAACUUCUUUCUCACUCUUUAAAUAACAAAAGUGGGCAGAAAGCUUACAUCCAGCAGUGCAAAGGAUAUCAGCCAAGUCCAGAUUGAUUUAUCACUGAAUAGCCUGUGAGUAGAUUUAAGAAUCAGCUGGGACUGCGUGUGUGUAUUAUAUGACUUUUCUUUCAUGCUCGCGUGAGAGAGCCAUAUCAGCUCACAUUACUCUGUGUGGUACUGAUGAAAGUGCUGCAUAACUGAAGCAAAAGAUUUCAGCAGCAUCUGGCAGUUAAUAGUAAAGCUCAAAAAAGUAGGAAGAACAAUGCCUGAAAGUGACUUCCCAAAUUAUUUUUCAGAUCUCUGCCAUUUUUUCUUCUCAAGCUGAAGGGGAGAGGGCAGGGUUCAAUACAACAUCAGAAUGAGUCUAAAUCUUGUUCAUGAUUGAUUUUGCUGUCUUACUUACAUAACCCACCUAAUCCUGCCACUCAGCUCUGUAAAUCACAGCCCACAGCCUUCUCCUAAGGCAUCAACCCCAAGGAUCAUGAUGAAAAGAAAAUCUCAUUACUGAUCAGCAGAGCAAGUGGUAAAGAAUGGAAAGUAAAGAGAAUUAUAACUUUGACACCUAGAUUGAAUCAAUUUUAUCUUCAUUUUUGUCCCAUGUUUAUUCUUACACACACAAAAACAUAAUGCCAGAGGGAAGGGGAAUGAAGAAGAACUGGGAUACAGUGACCAGAGGAGCUGGAGGGCUGGGCACCAUGCUUAUUCAUGUAUCCCCAGUUAAACCCACAAAUAAAUAGAGAGGAUUUACAAAGAGAUUAUUGAAGUCUCCAAAAGAGAGGUCUCAUGGGCAUAUCCUGGCCAGUAAUAUCAACGGGAGGCACCUCUAAAAAAUCUACUUUUAUUUAUUAGACCUAAGUAGUAGCUGAGCUCUUCUGACAAUUUAUCCCUAAUUGGGAGACUGAGCAUCUGGGAAAUCUGACCCUGCACACCCUCCCUUGGCAUCUGGGAGGUGUGGUUUUGUCUUCAACUCUUUGUGUGGAAAGCAAAGGCAGUGCUGAAAAUAUUCACAGGGGGCAGGGAGAGGCCUUGAUUCAGUCAUCCCUGCACUGAAAAUGGUUGGGGUUUUACGCCAGCAAAUUCAGUCUUGCUUCUUCAGACAGUUGCUUUCUGAAGGAAAAUUUGCUCUGCACUGAGAUUGCAAGGAGAGAUGGUGACUGAGCGUGUGGGGAGGAAGAAGGAAGCCCAAGCAGAAGGCAGCCGGUUAUUCGCAGGAGCCUCUCAAGGUGUUUGGGGAAGCAGUGCUAACUACACGUCUGCUGUCCUCUGGCCACAUGCACCCAGAGAAGAGCUCCCCUGGGGGAAGGGCCAAGCCAGAGGCUCAAACCGGCCCCUGCAAACUUCGAGGGCGAAGGAGAGUCUCCUGGUUGUGGAACACCAUCCUGCCUAUGCUGUCCGUCACUGUAGAACUUGAUCCAGCCCCUGGCAGAGCAGGGGCCUGGGACUGUUGUUCCAGCUGGAUGGAGGCAAUGCCAUUAGAGCACGCAUGACCCCAUCUCUCUUCGACCAGCUCUGAUUAGGAACCUAGUGUUUUGCAGCAGUAGCAGAACAAAUGCAAUCAGGAAGGCCACGUGAAAUCAAUUUCUGUUUAAUUAUUCAUUGCCUAUCUCUGUGCGGUACUGAGGAAAUCAUUCAAAACCCUGUAAUACCCAGCUACUUUCAGCUGCCUUCCUGAAGGAGCCAGAUUGUUGGCUGUCCCUCAAAAGCACGAAGGAAAUGGCUGAAAAAUGAUGGCUUUAUUAUCACAUGAAAAGAGUGAUGUGGAUGACAAGUGGGACUGCCCACCCUAGCACCAGCACUGUGCACCUGGCCAUGGUUUGGUGAGCUGGCCUGGCACAUGCUGCGUGUUGCUUCUGCUCUCACAUGGGUCAAGAGCUGGGCUGGGGGCUGAGGAGCCAGCCCUGCCCGUCCCGUCUGCUGUGAGAUGUGGCCCCUGCACAUGGCCGUGGCUGGAGCCUCAGGUCUGCACUGCCCCAGCGGGAAUCCAGCUGUGGUCACACCAGCCUGGGGCAGGGAGAAGU